CACGUAGGGGGCGAGCGUUGUCCGGAAUCAUUGGGCGUAAAGCGCGUGUAGGCGGUCCGGUAAGUCCGCUGUGAAAGUCGGGGGCUCAACCCUCGGAUGCCGGUGGAUACUGUCGGGCUUGAGUACGGAAGAGGCGAGUGGAAUUCCUGGUGUAGCGGUGAAAUGCGCAGAUAUCAGGAGGAACACCAAUUGCGAAGGCAGCUCGCUGGGACGUUACUGACGCUGAGACGCGAAAGCAUGGGGAGCGAACAGG
RNAcentral lists this ribosomal RNA (253 nucleotides) under uncultured bacterium. RNAcentral describes it as "partial 16S ribosomal RNA". It matches the Rfam family "Bacterial small subunit ribosomal RNA", at positions 524 to 776 of the family's 1533-position model. The record is from RNAcentral.